UACGGGGGGAGCAAGCGUUGUUCGGAUUUACUGGGCGUAAAGGGCGGGUAGGCGGCCACCGCAAGUCAGUUGUGAAAUCUCCGGGCUUAACCCGGAAAGGUCAACCGAUACUGCGGGGCUAGAGUGCAGAAGGGGCAACUGGAAUUCUCGGUGUAGCGGUGAAAUGCGUAGAUAUCGAGAGGAACACCUGCGGCGAAGGCGGGUUGCUGGGCUGACACUGACGCUGAAGUGCGAAAGCUAGGGGAGCGAACGGG
Molecule: ribosomal RNA, 254 nt
Filed under: uncultured bacterium
Lineage: Bacteria
Description: partial 16S ribosomal RNA
Rfam family: Bacterial small subunit ribosomal RNA
Source: RNAcentral